Molecule: ribosomal RNA, 1100 nt
Filed under: human metagenome
Description: bacterial LSU rRNA
Rfam family: Bacterial large subunit ribosomal RNA
Source: RNAcentral
AAACCCCCUCGCCGAAAGACUAAGGUUUCCUGAUCAACGCUAAUCGGAUCAGGGUUAGUCGGGUCCUAAGGCUCAGCCGAACGGUGAUGCCGAUGGCAGAACAGGUUAAUAUUCCUGUACUACCUUAAGGAGUGACGUGGAGACGGAGUCGUGACAGCGCCGCGGACUGACGGAAUAGUCCGUUGAAGGGUGUAGAUGUUGAUCUUUGCAGGCAAAUCCACAAAGAGAGUCGAACCUGAUAGUAUACCAAAUUCUUCGGAAUAAGGUAAUAGUGCGUGUAAGCAUACUCCCAAGAAAAUCCGCUAAACUUAAUCUUUAAGGUACCCGUACCGCAAACGGACACACGUAGUCGGGUUGAAUAUACUAAGGCGCUUGAGUGAUUCACGGUUAAGGAACUAGGCAAACUGACCCUGUAACUUCGGGAUAAAGGGUCCUCGCUUAACGGCGAGGCGCAGAGAAUAGGUCCAGGCAACUGUUUAACAAAAACACAGGGCUGUGCAAAAUUGAAAGAUGAAGUAUACAGCCUGACACCUGCCCGGUGCUGGAAGGUUAAGAGGAGAUGUCAUCGCAAGAGAAGCAUUGAAUUGAAGCCCCAGUAAACGGCGGCCGUAACUAUAACGGUCCUAAGGUAGCGAAAUUCCUUGUCGGGUAAGUUCCGACCUGCACGAAUGGUGUAAUGAUCUGGACGCUGUCUCAACCGUGAGCUCAGUGAAAUUGUAGUAUCGGUGAAGAUGCCGAUUACCCGCGAUGGGACGAAAAGACCCCGUGAACCUUUACUAUAGCUUAACAUUGAAUUUGGGUAAUUGAUGUGUAGGAUAGGCCGGAGGCUUUGAAGCGGGCACGCCAGUGUCCGUGGAGCCGCUGUUGAAAUACGGCCCUUUGAUUAUUUGAGUUCUAACCCGUUGUUGCGGGGACACUGUUUGGUGGGUAGUUUGACUGGGGUGGUCGCCUCCAAAAGUGUAACGGAGGCUUCUAAAGGUGCCCUCAGGACGAUUGGUAACCGUCCGUAGAGUGUAAUGGCAUAAGGGCGCUUGACUGGGAGACAGACAAGUCGAUCAGGUAGGAAACUAGAGCAUAGUGAUCCGGUGUUUCCGUAUGGA